This is a long non-coding RNA of Fundulus heteroclitus (mummichog), 956 nucleotides long. RefSeq lists it as uncharacterized. The record is from RefSeq and is a predicted model, not a curated record. Lineage: Eukaryota; Metazoa; Chordata; Actinopteri; Cyprinodontiformes; Fundulidae. The transcript has 5 exons.
GGGAACGUCUAUACAGAAACGAUGUCAGGUGCACUGAACGUGGAGCCCGGCUCUGUUAAACAUGUUCACUUUGAACAGGACAGCAGAGAAAGCAUGGUGGACAUCUACGUGAGUACGGAGAGCCUGAAAGUGUACGACACCCCCUGGGUGGAGGGCGCGUCACCAAAUUCUCCAGGACCAUCACAGAAUCCUGCCAUGAUGUCUUUUGUCGGUGAAACAUCCGUGAAGAGGAGUCCUGUCAGAUGGGACUGUGUCUUCCUGGGUGUGUUGUGUCUGCUUCUCUUGAUUGGAAUCGUCUACCUCGCAGUCCAAAUGACCCACCACCAACAUACCUGGAGAGACAACCAAACGCCAGAGGAAGAAAAUGAAGUUUGCAAGAACCUGACUAUACAGUUAUCUAUGAUUAACAAAAACAUAGAAACCUUGUGCAGCAUGCUCCAAAAACCCAUAAACGAAGUCUGUGACGCUAGAAAUCAGGAAAGAACACAGGACUGAGCGUCCAACGCAACUUAAACAGUGCCGGAGCAUGACACGUUGAAUACCAUCUAAACAAUGACCAGCCACUUUGACGUCUUUAAGGCAGGGUUCCAUGUUCACCAUAGUACAGAGACCGCUCUUGUCAAUGUGUCCAAUGACAUCUGCAUGAAUGCAGACUGUGGAAGAACCACAGUACUGGUAUUACUGGACCUCAGCACAGCAUUCAACACUGUUGACCAUGCUAUAUUACAGGACUGGGUUGGUCUUUCUGGGACAGUACUUGACGGGUUUGAGUCUAACUUGAAGGACAGGGACGUCUUUGUAUCAACUGGUAACUAGGGCUGGGCCUUUAUCUUAUCGUUUUUUCUUUUUUUUUUUUCUCUCGUUAUUGUGAAACAUUUCUUAUUAUGAUAAGAAGAUUUGAAUUUAUCUUGACAACUAUAAAUUCCAACUACUGGUGUCUGAAAACCCCCAAAACU